Molecule: ribosomal RNA, 1217 nt
Filed under: Bacillus thuringiensis
Lineage: Bacteria; Bacillati; Bacillota; Bacilli; Caryophanales; Bacillaceae
Description: bacterial SSU rRNA
Rfam family: Bacterial small subunit ribosomal RNA
Source: RNAcentral
UCGACAAUAAUGGGGAAAGGAUAUUGCUCGAGAGGAGUCACCCUCCGUUUGAGAAAUAGAUCGAAUUCCUUCCGGUUCGUAAACCCUCGUGUUUGUGAAGUAAAACACACAAGUGCUCUAGUUGAAUAUGGCUGGCCACCAUGACUGGUACCCUCACCCAAAAUGUCCUCGGCUAAGUAACGUGCCAGCAGUCUGCGGUAAUACCGUAAGAUGUCAAGCGCUUAUCCAGGAAUUUAUUCGGGCGUUAAAGCGCGUCGACAGUCGUUUUCCUCAACGUCUGAUGUGAAAGCCCACCGCCUCAACUGUGGGAUGCUCACUGGGAAACCUGUGAGACCUCGAGGUGCAGAAAGAGGAAAAGUGGAAAUUCCCAUGCUGUAGCCGGUGAAAUGCGUAGAGAUAUGUAGCAACCACCCUGUUGUCGAGGCGUGACUUUCUGGUCUGUAAUCUGACAUUGAAGGCUGCGAAAGCGUGGGGGAGCAACACAGGAUUAGAUACCCCUGGUAGUGCACGCUUGUAACACGAUGAGUGCUAAGUGUUAGAGGGUCUUCGCCCCUUUAGUGCUGAAGUUACCGCAUUAAGCACUCCGCCUGGGGAGUACGGCCGCAAGGCUGAAACUCAAAGGAAUUGACGGGGGCCCGCACAAGCGGUGGAGCAUGUGGUUUAAUUCGAAGCAACGCGAAGAACCUUACCAGGUCUUGACAUCCUCUGAAAACCCUAGAGAUAGGCCUUCUCCUUCGGGAGCAGAGUGACAGGUGGUGCAUGGUUGUCGUCAGCUCGUGUCGUGAGAUGUUGGGUUAAGUCCCGCAACGAGCGCAACCCUUGAUCUUAGUUGCCAUCAUUAAGUUGGGCACUCUAAGGUGACUGCCCGUGACAAACCGGAGGAAGGUGGGGACGACGUCAAAUCAUCAUGCCCCUUAUGACCUGGGCUACACACGUGCUACAAUGGACGGUACAAAGAGCUGCAAGACCGCGAGGUGGAGCUAAUCUCAUAAAACCGUUCUCAGUUCGGAUUGUAGGCUGCAACUCCCCUACAUGAAGCUGGAAUCGCUAGUAAUCGCGGAUCAGCAUGCCGCGGUGAAUACGUUCCCGGGCCUUGUACACACCGCCCGUCACACCACGAGAGUUUGUAACACCCGAAGUCGGUGGGGUAACCUUUUUGGAGCCAGCCGCCUAAGGUGGCACAGAUGAUUGGGGCUAAGUCGAACAGUGAGACGACC